GCAAAAUCCACUGCAAUCGGAGAUAAUCAAACAGAAUAGGCAAUCCCAAAAACCAGCACCAGACUCAGGGGCAACCAGGAAAUACACCUACCGCUAAAUCGGGCUCUAUAAAUCGAUAUUUCAAAGACAACUCUGACCACAUGGCGGAGGCCGCGGCCGCGACCUCGAAUAUGGGGGAGACGGAAUCUCUCCCUGAAUUACAGCCGCAAAACCCAC
Pelobates cultripes (western spadefoot toad) is the source of this 216-nucleotide non-coding RNA. The record is from the annotation of a GenBank genome assembly. Lineage: Eukaryota; Metazoa; Chordata; Amphibia; Anura; Pelobatidae.